This is an RNA transcript of Gadus morhua (Atlantic cod), 3081 nucleotides long. It is a transcript of the gene named STRA6-like, with no coding region annotated. The record is from RefSeq and is a predicted model, not a curated record. The transcript is spliced from 19 exons. Lineage: Eukaryota; Metazoa; Chordata; Actinopteri; Gadiformes; Gadidae.
CCUGCAGUCUGAUCGCGGUUUAAAAUAAACUAAGCCAGUAUAUGGCUAAGAGAGAAUCAUCAUUAUCUAUCAUGUAUUAUAAUUAUUAUUCUGCCGUGAGAGUGUGACUCUGCUAACAAUAAUAGACUUGAUUUAGCAAUGAUGGUGGGGGACCCGGGUGGAGAACGAACCAUGAAAGAACAGACAGAUUGACGAGACAAAAUAUUUGAUUAAUCUGGCAUGACACAGAAAAUACAAAGACAGCACGCAUUUACCAUUUCACUGAUAUUGAAUCGUAUUAUCGAACGCUCGCUCACAAAGCCUCUUGCCUCACCACCACUCACAGUCAGCGAGUCAGCGACAUGGGUCUGGGAGGAGUCGAGUCUGAGAACGAACGAGAUAAACGAGGGAGAAGAAUCAGUUCCCUUCGUUCUUGUUAAAGAAGAACUGAUUCGGUCGCGAACGACCCAUCACUAACCUCAUCCUAACGCAGCCAUGAACACAACGCCAACACAGGUCCCUGACGUUUACUGUAGGGACAACAUUGAGGAGAAGUUGGUGAUUCACCUCUGCCUGAUCCCAGCUGUGGUGAUCAUCAUGGUGCUGUCCUUCUUCCAGACGAGGGAGCGCCGUUGGGCCAUGGACCUCCGGCUGCCCCGCAUGGCGGGGCACUUUGGCAUCGCGGUGCCUCUGGAGGCGAUGAACAGCCUGAGCAACCGCUGGUCCUACGGGUUUGCCUUUGGCGCCUCCUCCCGUGUGGUCUUCCUGCUGUUCUCCAAGCAACACAUCCUGUUUCCUGCUCCGCCCUGGGCAGAGUCCUUUGUGUUCCUUUUUGGAGCGUUCGAGGUGGGGCUAGUCUUCUUUCCCUUCUUCGCAUGCCUUUCUACAACUGCUAGGGGAGUUGGAGCUGUUUUGGGAAUACUCUACACUCUAGCCUGGCUCGGUGUCAUGCUCGCGCUUGUAAUCACCUGUCCACACAGUCAGUUUUUUAUUAGGUAUGGGAAUCUGAUAUGGUUAUUGCCGACCAUCCUAUCCUUCUUCUUUCUCCUGGGUCGCUUUUUCCUCAUAUUGGUCAAAACUGUGCAAGGACGCCGACAGAAUCAGGUUACAGGAGAGGUGAUUGAACACCAUGUCCAAUAUGUCAAGAGGUUGCUACGGAAACCGCCUCCUCCUGGCAGGGAAAGUUGGUUCCAAAGAAGGGUGUACAAGUGGGACCCACACUUCAGGUUCCCCAACAGACUGAUAGGAACCACCAUCAUCAGCCUCAUAGGCCUCUACACUCUGUUGCACCAUUCGUACGUGUUGAGCCAGGGGGUCUUUGAUUUGUUGGACGAGUUAAUUCGCUGGCUGGAUCAGUUAAAUGCAGCCUCAGCCUCAAUUAAGGAGUUUGCCAUCAUCGCACGCAAGUCAUGGAUGAUGGCUUCCAUCACAGCCUGCCUCAUCUCCCUGGUCUACAUCUUCCACGUUCUGGUGUGUUACAGGAAGCAUAUGAAGAGGCUGUGGAGGGGGCAGAGGGGCUUCCUCCCUGAGAAGUUCCGCAAGAAUAUCAACCCUGCUUCUAGUAUGGCUGCCAUUGCAAGAUACUCUGGGUGUCAAAUCGCUUACACGUUAUGGGGUUACAUCAUCUUUAACAUUGUGGCCUUCCUGGCUAUCCUGAUCUUUGCAUAUACAAUGAUCGUUCCCAUCCUGCAUGGCCAGAUCCUGAAGAGACUGACCACUUUGGGCUACUCAUUGCUGGGCUUGGCAGUACUCUUGGCCGUCGGUUGCCUGCAGGUAUACACUGUCAAGAUGUUCUUCCUGCAGGAUAAGCUGAGUACAACAGAGAAAGACAAACCUCUGGCCCUAAACAACAGGAGAGCGUUCAACUGCUUCAGCUACUUCUUCUUCUUCUACAACGUGGUGCUGGGGAUGGGCACCUGCGUCCUGCGCCUGCUGGUCAGCCUGACUGUAGGAUUGGUGCUGCUGCCUCGCAUUGACCGCACCAUCAUGCCCAAAGGACACGAGACCAAGGACCUGGCUGCUCUCUUCAUUGGUGAUCCCGCUGAGUCCAGUGAUUGUCCUUCUGGGGUCUUGAUGGGUCUUCAGGCUACACAUGGUGGGUGGGCAUGAUCUUUGCAGACCACUACCAUGGCAACCCGACGCUGGUGUGCUUCUGUAACCUGCUGUGGUCCAGAUCCCCGGAGCCAAAAGCAGCAGGCCCCUACCAGCCGUUCCGUAAUACAACCCUCGAGUCUGGUGUGCACAGCAGAGCCAGGAAGCGCUGGGCGCUGGCGUACACCCUACUGAGGAACCCCCCCCUCAUCCUGCUCAGGAAACACCUCGCUUCCCCCCCACCCUGCUCCACCUCAGGCCAGGCGGCCAACCAGCCGUCUGACCACUUCACAAGAACACCAAGAUUUGUAACAGCGGCUCGGACACAGACCGGCUCGACAGCCCCCUCUGGCGGGGGAACACCGCCAAAGCAGCUGAACACACAGGAUCAACGCAACGGACCAUCGUCAUCGGAAGUUUAGACCACCAAUCUUGGGAAGGUUUGACCACUAUCGUGUGGAGUCUAAACCAACCACCAUCGUAUUGAGUUUAGACCACCAUAGUGUAAAGGUUAUGCCUCGGUUCCACUGACCCGCUAGACUAAAGAGAGAAUCCAUUGUGGAGCUUUUGAGGCUGCCAUGAAAACAUCCUGAAGAGGUUGGUGGUCUUUCCAUCCUGUCUCAAACUCUGAUGCUAUUCAAACAUAUCGAUACAAUGUAAUACCAUAAGAAUGUAUCAUUUAAUACAUGAAACAAUUAAACAACCAAGGUUGGUUUAUAAAAUGUUUUUUUUAUCAUAGAUAUACUGUAUCAUCUUUUGGAAAGGUGAGGCAUCUUGCAUUUGAAUGCUGUUAGUGUUGAUGCUUUUGUUAUUAUUAUUAUUGUUGGUAAUCUAUGGGUAUGGGGAGGUUUUAGAGUUGUAUCCAAUAUAAAUCUGUCCUACAGAAUUUUGAUCAUUGUAAAAAUUCAUAUAUCGCCUAUUUGUUAGCUUGUAUUGUUUUUGCUUUUAUACUUUCAUGUUUUUACACAAACCAAAUAAUGUUUUUUGAUAUAAAUUAAACUUUUGACCCAA